UAUGGUCAAGUGAAGAAGCGCAUACGGUGGAUGCCUUGGCAGUCAGAGGCGAUGAAAGACGUGGUAGCCUGCGAAAAGCUUCGGGGAGUCGGCAAACAGACUUUGAUCCGGAGAUGUCUGAAUGGGGGAACCCAGCCAUCAUAAGAUGGUUAUCACACACUGAAUACAUAGGUGUGUGAGGCGAACCAGGGGAACUGAAACAUCUAAGUACCCUGAGGAAAAGAAAUCAACCGAGAUUCCCUUAGUAGUGGCGAGCGAACGGGGAUUAGCCCUUAAGCUUCUUUGAUUUUAGCGGAACGCUCUGGAAAGUGCGGCCAUAGUGGGUGAUAGCCCUGUACGCGAAAAGGUCUUAGAAGUGAAAUCGAGUAGGACGGAGCACGAGAAACUUUGUCUGAAUAUGGGGGGACCAUCCUCCAAGGCUAAAUACUACUGACUGACCGAUAGUGAACCAGUACCGUGAGGGAAAGGCGAAAAGAACCCCGGAGAGGGGAGUGAAAUAGAACCUGAAACCGUAUGCGUACAAGCAGUGGGAGCCUACUUUGUUAGGUGACUGCGUACCUUUUGUAUAAUGGGUCAGCGACUUAUUUUCAGUGGCGAGCUUAACCGAAUAGGGGAGGCGUAGCGAAAGCGAGUCUUAAUAGGGCGUCUAGUCGCUGGGAAUAGACCCGAAACCGGGCGAUCUAUCCAUGGGCAGGUUGAAGGUUAGGUAACACUGACUGGAGGACCGAACCGACUACCGUUGAAAAGUUAGCGGAUGACCUGUGGAUCGGAGUGAAAGGCUAAUCAAGCUCGGAGAUAGCUGGUUCUCCUCGAAAGCUAUUUAGGUAGCGCCUCGUGUAUCACUGCUGGGGGUAGAGCACUGUUUCGGCUAGGGGGUCAUCCCGACUUACCAAACCGAUGCAAACUCCGAAUACCAGCAAGUGUCAGCACGGGAGACACACGGCGGGUGCUAACGUCCGUCGUGAAAAGGGAAACAACCCAGACCGUCAGCUAAGGUCCCAAAAUCCUGGUUAAGUGGGAAACGAUGUGGGAAGGCUUAGACAGCUAGGAGGUUGGCUUAGAAGCAGCCACCCUUUAAAGAAAGCGUAAUAGCUCACUAGUCGAGUCGGCCUGCGCGGAAGAUGUAACGGGGCUCAAACCAGGUACCGAAGCUACGGGUUCAACG
Molecule: ribosomal RNA, 1165 nt
Filed under: Stutzerimonas kunmingensis
Lineage: Bacteria; Pseudomonadati; Pseudomonadota; Gammaproteobacteria; Pseudomonadales; Pseudomonadaceae
Description: bacterial LSU rRNA
Rfam family: Bacterial large subunit ribosomal RNA
Source: RNAcentral